Acanthopagrus latus (yellowfin seabream) is the source of this 2604-nucleotide long non-coding RNA. RefSeq lists it as uncharacterized. The transcript is spliced from 2 exons. The record is from RefSeq and is a predicted model, not a curated record. NCBI's taxonomy places the organism in Eukaryota, Metazoa, Chordata, Actinopteri, Spariformes, Sparidae.
AGGACGGAGCGGGGACCAUGGACCCGGCGGGACGGAUCUGUUUGCAAACAGCCGAGAGACAGCUGACUGAGGAGGGAGGAGGAAACCGGAAGUAGAUACCAGGCUGUGUUCCUGUUUUCUGCAAAGAUCGUUGAUUGACGCAUAACAUUUGACUCCAGCUCAUCUGAGCCCCACACACAUCUGGGUCCAGCCUGUGUUUCAAAAUUACCCAGAAGGCCUGCAGUGUGUGUUUUAGCCAGUCGGAAGGAAAUAGAGGAGGUAAUGAGCCUUUACUUCAAACCCUAUUACCCAGGAGCUUCUGCUGCGACCCAGCCCAAACCACGCUUGGCUGCCGUACAGUUUGGUCAAAUGGAGAAUGAGAUGGAUGAGACAUUCUCCUCUCUCCUCUCUGGCUGGUUAAAACAACUCCUCUGAGAAGAUGGAAGAGAAUAAUUUGGCAGGAAAUUGAGCUUAAUGAGAUCAAGAUCUUCACGAUCCUGAAGAGAGUAUGUGAUCUGUGUAGGGCAGAUUUAAUGAUUUUGGUCUGUGAUGUGUGAGCAAAAGUGAAAGGGACGGAGAACAAAGUAUGCAAAAUAUUCUGUGUAUGAAUUUAUUGAUUUGUUCUAUCUCAGUUGGGUUUUGUUAUCUCUUUGUUUGAAAAUCUAGUUGAGGUUUUGUCAGGUGACAUUUGUAAACUCUGUCAUUUCACAGACUGUGAUGCAUGAUGCUGGCACUGCCACUGUUUCCUGUUGUUAACUUUUCAGUGAACUGGAUUACUGGCUCUUUAUGUGAUUGGAGCCAAAGCUUUGUGUGCCCCAGAUAGUCCAUGUUGAUGCAGAAGUUGGUGCAGAAGUCCCUCUUCAUGCAUUUAUCAGAAUUAAUGCUGAAGACACUUGAUUAUUAUGCCGUCAAUCUUUUGGUUUGGAAAGGUAGAAAAUUAGAAUUUCCUUGAGGAGUUUGUGGAGCUUGUGUUAUCUGAACAAUCCAAUUUUAGUUUUGAGGAUUAUGAUGAUGAUUAAGCUCCCUCAUGAACUGAGACAAUUCUUCAGGACCAUAAAUCUCUGGUUUUAGAAAACAUAUCCCAAACACCAAUAUAUAAAGGCAUAUCUGCAGCCGGUGAACUUCCACACUGCGCACAUUCUGAUUUUAUAAUUAAAGAGGCUGCUUUCAGUCAUUUUAAAUGUUUCCAUGCAUGCAUGUGGUGUCACUAUAACAAAUAUGUGGCACAUUUAAGCAGGUAAAACUAAAAGCAGCAGUUAUAAACUUGGCAGGACAGAGGACAAUCUCCAGACGAUAAAGCAUCAAACUUUGAUCUUGUGAAAUUAGUGUCUGUAGACAGCUCUGAUGGGACUCUGGAUUUAUCAGGAUACACCUGUCUGAAUCCAUGCUGGAUCUGAUGCUGAUAUUUGAAGAAGCAGUAAGGGAAAGCAAAAUAGCUAAUUAGCAUUACUGCAUGCAGUUGGCUGAAAGUGUUGAACCAAGGGCUUGUGAAGGACUGAGUCUUUCUCUGAUUUGAUGUCCUGUUGGUCAGGUCUAAGCCACCACAUACUCGCUGCUGCCACCUGUUUGAUGGUGGUGUAACCUCAGCUAAAUUAAGUUUAGGCAGCGGAUAAAUGUGGUCAGUGGCCAAAGUUGGACUUCAGCCUGUUACAACUGUUACAUCCUGUUAACUAUUCCUAUAUGUUAUCUCAUGCGAGUUAAAGGUGGCUUGACCUGUACAAUCCUCACACAAGGUCUCGCCAUUUAUAUCUUUAGCACUUAGAACAACCAUUAAGCCUUUUGCCGUGCUCCAGUGAUACUCACAGCUGUCGCUUCUCUCACCACAAUGAGCCGAGCUUUAUUAAUCAUCAAAGGGAUUAAAAUUAUGGUGCCCAUAGGCUGUGAAAAGCUUAUCGGUAAUAUUGUGCAUGCAUCUGCACUUGCGUGUGUUCCACGUUUACCACGAUCAUCAGCUCACUUCAAUCAAUCACGAUGCCUUGAAUGAAUACAGUUGUGGCAUCGAGAUUAAACCCUGAUUUGUGACACUGUGUAGCAUUAAAUGAAGUGCCUGUAAUCCCAGUAAUAGUGACAGAUUUCUCACCACCUGUUGUUUAGUAUAGGCAUGCAUGUACUUGUUUGUCACACAACGCAGACAAAAUCGAUUGCUACUAGAUUUAAAACGCUCCGAAAGGGAACCUUUAAGUGUGCCAUCAGCAGAUGAAGAGUUAUGUGAUGCAAAGAAAUGUCAGCACAAGUUAAAAAUGUUUCAACUUGAGUGAAAAGGGGGAAAAAAAAGGUACAGUGAUGAGAGGAAUGAGGAUAGACCAGAGGGAUAAAAAAACAACUUGAGUUUCUAGUGAGAUCUGAGUUAAGUCAGAGGCUGAAACACACACAAUAUAGGCACACAGCACAGUCGAACAUCUGCACAGGCAAAAAUGACACCUAACUUACUCAUUAUCAUCACCAAAUGGCAAAAUUUUGUUUCAGCCAACACAAGAUGAUCACUCCAAAAAUAGUCAGCCUUCCUCUCCUCAUCAUCUUUUUUUUGUAUAUUUGGUCUCCACACACAGUUUUAUUCUAAGUGUCUGGUUUCGCUUCCUCUAUUCCUUUCCUCUCCUCUUCUCAUGCCUCUCGAUUUUAUUUGCC